Molecule: non-coding RNA, 28 nt
Filed under: Homo sapiens (human)
Lineage: Eukaryota; Metazoa; Chordata; Mammalia; Primates; Hominidae
Source: RNAcentral
UCAGUGUCUGACGUCAGUUGUUUUCCAG